CGCAUUUCCUGACAAUGCUUCCAUUUUCAUGGUAGUUAUUGGUAAUAGUCUCUUUGGUAAUUCGUAGCUGGUUAGCUAACAUGUUUUCACUUUUCCACUUCUGCAAUAAAGAAACUUAAAAUUCUGAAAUUACAAAUAAAAGUUUUCAAGCUAGUGAUGUCCUGUUUUCUUACGAAUGUUUUUUAUUUUAUUUUUUUUUUUUUGGAGAUACCUGGUUUUGCUGUGUUGUCCAGGCUAGACUUGAACUCCUGGGCUUGAACUCCUGAGCUUAAGUGAUCCUCCCACCUCAGCCUCUUGAGUCGCUGGGAUUACAGAUGUUAGCCACUUCACCUGGCCCUUGCUAUUAACGUUUUUAACACAACAUAUAUGUUAUUACUUUGCCACUGUUCCUAUUACCAUUUUGUCCAGUCUUAGACAGUUUACUGGGCCAAAUGACUUCCCUGGAAGAAGGUAUCUAAAUGCACCAGAUAAACACAGUGCUUCAAAAAGAGAAUACCCUGUCCAAUGAUGUCACAGCAUUACCCGUUAGAGACAAUCCAGAAGAGAAGUGAAGAAGGUAGCAACCUUUCAAGUUUUGCUAUUGAUUAUUGGGGGGAAAAGAUAAUUUUAAGGGAAAAACAAUGAUAAUCUAUUUAUAAUAUUCAAGAGAAAAGUAAGUGUUUGAGAGUCUUGGCAAGACUCACUAAGAAACUCAUAUUGUUCAUUCAGUGUGAUUUCAGAUAUUUUGAAGGGCACAUAGAAUUGAAUAUGACAACUCUUAUUAGUAUUGCCCAUUUAAAAGGACAGAAAGCAAGAAAGUGAGACAACUGACUGAUUAGAUUAUGGCACCUGAGCACAAUAAUAGGCAGGAAAAAACCCUAAUAUUCUACUGCCUAUCUGUCUCCUGAUAGAUUAAGAUAUUCCCCAAACCACUGCUUUCAAAAUUAAAACUGAAGCUUAGGCUGGGCGCGGUGACUCAUGCCUGUAAUGCCAGCACUUUGGGGGGCUGAAGUGAGCAGAUCACCUGAGGUCAGGAGUUCGAGACCAG
Molecule: long non-coding RNA, 1027 nt
Filed under: Homo sapiens (human)
Lineage: Eukaryota; Metazoa; Chordata; Mammalia; Primates; Hominidae
Description: HSALNT0365471
Source: RNAcentral